GCAUCACACUUGUGCAGGUACAGAGGAGGGCCACAAAAUGGCUGGAGCACCUCUUUUCUGAGGUCUGAGAGAGCUGAGUUUGUUCAGCCUAAAGAAGAGAAGAUUCCAGGGAGACUUCUUUGUGGCCUUCCUGUACUUGAAGAAGUGGUGGAAUGCUGGCUUAAGUUGCCCAGAACGGUGGUGGAUGACCCAACCCUGGAAACGUUCAAGACCAGGCUGAACUGGGCUCUGAGUAACCUGAUCUAGUUGAAGAUGUCACUGCACAUUUCAGGAGGGCUGGACUAGAAAAUAUUUGGUCUUUGGCAGUACAGAUUGAAGUCUGAAGAGCUGCUGGAGCUGCCAAGUUUGCAUCUUAGAAGGAAGGACUCCAAGACCAACAGGGAACUCCUCAGCAACAGCUUCAGCUGCUCCCAAGUCCUGCAGGCUGGAUAGACCUUUAGACA
This is a non-coding RNA of Cyanistes caeruleus (blue tit), 443 nucleotides long. Lineage: Eukaryota; Metazoa; Chordata; Aves; Passeriformes; Paridae. The record is from RefSeq and is a predicted model, not a curated record.